UUAAAAAGAAGAAGAAGGGAUUUAGGGUUACUUGGGUGGCGCAUCAGCUUCUUCUCCCUUCCUUAAUUCAGACGGCGGCGAGGAUGGAGAACUCAUCUUCUCCGGCGAACUCAAGGCCGUUCUCCGCCUCACACUCUCCCUCUCCGUUCGGUUAUCUCUUCUCACUUCCGUUUUGAUACUCGACUCAAAUCUCCUUUCCGAACGUCGCAUCUUCGCCGCCAUAACCAUCACUUCCUCCUUUCUCUGUUCAACUCUCAAGCGGCAUCUCACUCCACUCUCUAACGAACUCGUGUCCCUCAUUUCUCUCGUUAAUUUCUCCGAUUCCAAACCUGCCAGAAAUAUGCUCCGACGACUCUUUGUGGUUGGUCAGUGAUGUUAAGAAAGCCAGAGGAACUCUUCACGAAACGUGGAGCGUGGUGGAGAUCGGUGAUUUGGUGAAUUGAAGAUUGAGAGGUUGUGAAUCGAUUCAGAGAGAAAAGAUUGGAGAGAAUCCGAGAGUUUGUUACAGGUUCUUCCAAACUGGUUCUCUGAUUCCUCUUGUUGGUUGAAGAAUGAAGAAUAGAAGGAGAAAGAUGGUUGAAGCAGUGAAGGUGAAAGAAAAUGGUGGAGAAGUGUUAUGAUUGAAGGUGGGAGAGGAAGGUUAUGGUGAUGGAGUGGAGAAUGGAGAGAGCAUUGGUGUGUGUUAUGGUGUUGAAUAUGGAUGAUUGAAGGUGGAAGAAGAAUGGCUUCUGAAUUCAGAGAGUGAGAGGAUGAUGAGAGAUGGAGAUGGUGAUGGAAGCAAUGAUGGUGGUCGAGUUAUAUAGAGAGAUGGAGAGCAGAAGAUUGAGAGUCUGAGCUUCAAGCAUAGUCAUGAUGGGAGUCUAAAGCAACAUUGGGGCAGCAAGGGAUUCAUAGAUGAUUGAAGUGGAAGCAUGAAGAGACUUGGGAGUUUCAUAGAGGUAUUUUGGCAAAUGACAGAUAUGAAGCGAACUUGGUUGAAUAUGAUGGGUCUAGUCAUAGUUGGCCAAUGAUCAACUGCAUUUUUUUUGUAAUUUUAAAUGACUUUGUAUGAAGUGUAAUGAAAUAAUAAAUUUAUGGAAGUGCAAUGUAAUUGGCUUUGUAAUUUGCCCCCUUUGUAAUAAUUCUCUUUCAUUUCAAACUUUGAAAUUUCUUUUGCAUUUGCUUUUAAUUUUGGAAUUCUUGAAAGGAGGCUUUGAUUGUAGCUUGAAGGACCUCUUCUUAACCAUGUUCAAAUGUUUUUAAAUGAAUGAGUGUGUUUGAAUUCCCUUACAUUUGAAACGUAACUUUCCCCUAUAUGCUUCAUAUUCAAACUCCUAAUGCAUUCUCCAUUCAUACCUUUAAUCUCAAAAAAGCCUCAAGAGUGACUUUGAUCAAGAGUCAACAUUCUUUGGUUGAUUUUGACCGAAAGUCAAAGUUUUGACAUAGUUUCCUCCAAUCUUGCAACAAUUCCCCAAUUACACUAUAUAUGUCCAAAUUCUUGCAUGAACCCCAAUGUCAAUGACUUGUAGUUCCACUAAUGAGCAGUAUCCUUUGAAUCACCACAAAAAAUAGGGAAAUAAAACCCUUAAUCAUUGAAUUUAUUGUAUAUGGAUGAAGAAUAACUUUGAAGCUUGAUGAAGAGGAAAUCCACAAUA
This is a long non-coding RNA of Vicia villosa (hairy vetch), 1634 nucleotides long. RefSeq lists it as uncharacterized. The transcript is spliced from 3 exons. NCBI's taxonomy places the organism in Eukaryota, Viridiplantae, Streptophyta, Magnoliopsida, Fabales, Fabaceae. The record is from RefSeq and is a predicted model, not a curated record.